This 459-nucleotide ribosomal RNA is filed under the name uncultured bacterium. Its description in RNAcentral is "partial 16S ribosomal RNA". It matches the Rfam family "Bacterial small subunit ribosomal RNA", at positions 338 to 795 of the family's 1533-position model. The record is from RNAcentral.
CCUACGGGAGGCAGCAGUGAGGAAUAUUGGUCAAUGGGCGCGAGCCUGAACCAGCCAAGUAGCGUGAAGGAUGACUGCCCUACGGGUUGUAAACUUCUUUUAUAAAGGAAUAAAGUGAGGCACGUGUGCCUUUUUGUAUGUACUUUAUGAAUAAGGAUCGGCUAACUCCGUGCCAGCAGCCGCGGUAAUACGGAGGAUCCGAGCGUUAUCCGGAUUUAUUGGGUUUAAAGGGUGCGUAGGCGGAGGGUUAAGUCAGAGGUAAAAUUUAGGGGCUCAACCCCUUCCCGCCCUUGAAACUGGCGUUCUUGAGUGUAGGAGAGGUAUGCGGAAUGUGUGGUGUAGCGGUGAAAUGCAUAGAGAUCACGCAGAACCCCGAUUGCGAAGGCAGCAUGCCGGCUUCCGACUGACGUUGAAGCACGAAAGCGUGGGGAGCGAACAGGAUUAGAUACCCUAGUAGUC